GAUGAAGAACGCAGCGAAAUGCGAUAAGUAGUGUGAAUUGCAGAAUUCAGUGAAUCAUCGAAUCUUUGAACGCACAUUGCGCCUUCUGGUAUUCCGGAAGGCAUGCCUGUUCGAGAGUCAUUAACAACCGUUUCGAUCCCUUUCUUUCAGAAAUUACAAAGAGGAAAAGGGUUUGGUUAUGGUGGAGGAGGGAAAGGGAGCGUUUAGCCUGUAAAAAAAGAGGCUGUGUUCCGCCUCCCCCCCAAAAUUGUACAGGCGGUCGUGUGCGCCCACGCAUCGAGGUGUUGUAAAAGCUGCCACGGCACUUUUCACCUGUGCAGUGCGAGAUUGGCCAGCCGGUUUAAAAACCCCUCCAAACAAUCAAAGGUUGACCUCGGAUCAGGUAGGGAUACCCGCUGAACUUAAGCAUAUCAAUAAGCGGAGGA
Molecule: unclassified non-coding RNA, 425 nt
Filed under: soil metagenome
Description: partial contains 5.8S ribosomal RNA, internal transcribed spacer 2, and large subunit ribosomal RNA
Rfam family: 5.8S ribosomal RNA (bases 1-120)
Source: RNAcentral